GCCUGCAGUGGGUACGGGCAGACUAGAGUGCGGUAGGGGAGAUUGGAAUUCCUGGUGUAGCGGUGGAAUGCGCAGAUAUCAGGAGGAACACCGAUGGCGAAGGCAGAUCUCUGGGCCGUAACUGACGCUGAGGAGCGAAAGGGUGGGGAGCAAACAGGCUUAGAUACCCUGGUAGUCCACCCCGUAAACGUUGGGAACUAGUUGUGGGGUCCAUUCCACGGAUUCCGUGACGCAGCUAACGCAUUAAGUUCCCCGCCUGGGGAGUACGGCCGCAAGGCUAAAACUCAAAGGAAUUGACGGGGACCCGCACAAGCGGCGGAGCAUGCGGAUUAAUUCGAUGCAACGCGAAGAACCUUACCAAGGCUUGACAUAUACGAGAACGGGCCAGAAAUGGUCAACUCUUUGGACACUCGUAAACAGGUGGUGCAUGGUUGUCGUCAGCUCGUGUCGUGAGAUGUUGGGUUAAGUCCCGCAACGAGCGCAACCCUCGUUCUAUGUUGCCAGCACGUAAUGGUGGGAACUCAUGGGAUACUGCCGGGGUCAACUCGGAGGAAGGUGGGGAUGACGUCAAAUCAUCAUGCCCCUUAUGUCUUGGGCUUCACGCAUGCUACAAUGGCCGGUACAAAGGGCUGCAAUACCGUGAGGUGGAGCGAAUCCCAAAAAGCCGGUCCCAGUUCGGAUUGAGGUCUGCAACUCGACCUCAUGAAGUCGGAGUCGCUAGUAAUCGCAGAUCAGCAACGCUGCGGUGAAUACGUUCCCGGGUCUUGUACACACCGCCCGUCAAGUCAUGAAAGUCGGUAACACCUGAAGCCGGUG
Molecule: ribosomal RNA, 816 nt
Filed under: Microbacterium sp.
Lineage: Bacteria; Bacillati; Actinomycetota; Actinomycetes; Micrococcales; Microbacteriaceae
Description: bacterial SSU rRNA
Rfam family: Bacterial small subunit ribosomal RNA
Source: RNAcentral